RNAcentral lists this ribosomal RNA (327 nucleotides) under uncultured eukaryote. Its description in RNAcentral is "partial 18S ribosomal RNA". It matches the Rfam family "Eukaryotic small subunit ribosomal RNA", at positions 1470 to 1796 of the family's 1831-position model. The record is from RNAcentral.
CCCUUAGAUGUUCUGGGCCGCACACGCGCUACACUGAAGGAGGCAGCGUGUACUCCUGGAUCGAAAGAUUUGGGUAACCCGCGAAUCUCCUUCGUGCUAGGGAUUGAGGUUUGCAAUUAUCCUUCAUGAACGAGGAAUUCCCAGUAAGUGCAAGUCAUAAGCUUGCGCUGACUGCGUCCCUGCCCUUUGUACACACCGCCCGUCGCUACUACCGAUUGAAUGAUUUAGUGAGGACUUCGGACUGGGACCGAUGCGGCUUUCGGGCUGCGUCGGUAUUCUGGAAAGAUGUCCAAACUGUAUCAUUUAGAGGAAGUAAAAGUCGUANCA